GCCCACAUAGCUCAGCUGGUAGAGCAUUUCCAUGGUAAGGAAAAGGUCACCGGUUCAAACCCGGUUGUGGGCU
This 73-nucleotide transfer RNA is filed under the name Spirochaetia bacterium. RNAcentral's name for it is "tRNA-Thr". It matches the Rfam family "tRNA". Rfam says of the family: Transfer RNA (tRNA) molecules are approximately 80 nucleotides in length. The record is from RNAcentral. Lineage: Bacteria; Pseudomonadati; Spirochaetota; Spirochaetia.